Molecule: long non-coding RNA, 2106 nt
Filed under: Zonotrichia albicollis (white-throated sparrow)
Lineage: Eukaryota; Metazoa; Chordata; Aves; Passeriformes; Passerellidae
Description: lncRNA (ENSZALG00000001188.1)
Source: RNAcentral
UGAUGAAGAUGACGAUGAUGAUGAUGAAGAAGAAGAAAACCCAGAUUUGGAAAAACUGACAUCGCGUUCGCCGCGCCCGCCGCCGAUCUCGUUGCGGAAAUGAGGACAACUCAACAACAACUCAUUGCUGGUGUCAUCACCUAAAUCCUGCUCCAAAUUUUCUUUGGAAUUUAAAUUUUCCAAACUGGAGAAAAUUUUGGGAUCGGAACCGGCGGAAGCGGCCGAAGCUCCCGUGGUCGUGUUGCGCCGUUGGGUUCCCGUCGAGGAUCCGACGGAAACGGCUUCGAAAAAAAUGCUCUGAACGUCGAAAUGAGCGAAACUUUUGCGCCAAAUCCAAGAUUUUGGAGCUUCUGGAAGUUUGGGAUCUUCGGGAUCUUUGGGAUUGAGGAGUUUUUUGAAGAUGGAAUCGUCGGGUUUUAAACGGCGCCGGGGUUUUUCUUUCGGAGCUUGGGGUUGAUCCGAAUUUGGAUCGGGAUUUUGAUUGGAAUUUUGGGAAUUUUGGGGUUUUUUGGUUCGGAAUUCGUUGAGGAUUUCAUAAAAACUCUGCUCUGGGAUUCCUUGGAUGUCGAUGGAGGAGGUGCUGCCGUACUCGCGGAACAAUCCGGCGGAAUUCCCGGAAUUCCCGCGGAUUUCCGGGAUUUCUUCGGGAUCGCAUUCGCUCAAAGUGACUUCGCUGCUGCUCCUUUGUCUCAAAGGAAUUCCCAAAAAUCCUUCUUGGAAUUCCAGAUCUUUCCAAUGAGGGACCAAGCGGCGAUGGAAGGGUUUGAAUGGAGCUUGGGAAGGUUGGGAAUUGCGGGAAAUUCCGGAAUAUUCUUUGGAGCGCGGGGGCCACUCGGCCACGCGGGCGCGGACGCCCAUCUUGGGCACCGGGGGGAUCUCGGAGCGUUGGGAGGUCAUGGUCACCCAAAAGGGAAUUGGGGAGUUUGGAAGUUCUGGAGAUCCUGGAGGUCCAGGAGGUCCAAGAGGUCCAGGAGGUUCUGGAGGUCUGGGAGGUCCUGGAGGUCCAGAAGGUUCAGAAGAUCCAGAAGGUCAAGGAGGUCCUGGAGGUCCUGGAGGUUCAGAAGAUCCAGAAGGGUCAAGGAGGUUCAGGAGGUCCAGAAGAUCCAGGAGUUCCAGAGGACCUGGAGGUUCAGGAGGUUCAGGAGAUCAAGGAGGUUCAGAAGAUCCAGGAGAUCCAGAAGGUUCAGAAGGUCCAGGAGGUCAGGGAGGUUCAGAAGGUUCAGGAGAUCCAGAAGAUCCAGGAGGUGCAGGAGGUCAAGGAGAUUCAGAAAGUCCAGGAGGCCUUGGAAGUCCAGGAGGUGCUGGAGGUCCUGGAGGUUCAGAAGAUCCAGGAAAUCCAAGAGGUCCAGAGGUCCUGGAGGUCUUGGAAGUUCAGGAGAUCCAGGAGGUCCAAGAGUUCCAGAGGACCUGGAGGUUCAGAAUAUCCAGAAGAUCCAGAAGGGUCAAGGAGGCUCAGAAGAUCCAGAAGAUCCAGAAGGUCCAGGAGGUUCAGAAGGUCCAGGAGCUCAGGGAGGCUCAGAAGAUCCACAAGGCCCGGAGCUCCAAGAGUUCCAGAGGACCUGGAGGUUCAGGAGGUCCAGAAAGUCCAGAAGAUCCAGGAGGUUCAGAAGCUCCAGGAGAUCCAGAAGAUCCAGAAGGGUCAAGGAGGUUCAGGAGGUUCAGGAGGUCCAGGAGGUCAGGGAGGUUCAGAAGCUCCAGGAGAUGCUGAAGGUUCAGGAGAUCCAGAAGAUCCAGAAGGUCCAGAAAGUCCAGAAGAUCCAGAAGGUUCAGAAGAUCCAGGAGGUCCAGGAGGUCCUGGAGGUUCAGAAGGUCAAGGAGGUCCAGAAGCUCCAGAAGCUCCAGAAGGUCAGGGAGGUUCAGAAGGUUCAGGAGAUGCAGAAGGUGCAGGAGCUCAGGGAGGUUCAGGAGAUCCCCAGGGCCCGGAGCUCCAGGAGCUCAUGGCAGGAAGCGGCGGCGGCGGCGCAUGCUGGGAGGGCUGGGGGGAAAAAGGACAAAAAUUCAGGAUUUUAUCCCAAAAAUUGAGGGAAUUUAUCCCAAAAAUUGAGGGAAUUUUAGCCAAAAAUUUCAGGAUUUUAUCCAAAAAUUGAGGGAAUUUUAUCAAAAAAA